GACGAACGCUGGCGGCGUGCCUAAUACAUGCAAGUCGAACGCUGAAGGCUGGUACUUGUCCGGACUGGGGGAGCAGCGAAAGGGUGAGUAACACGCGUGGAAUCUGCCUUUCAGCGGGGGACAACAUUUGGAAACGGAUGCUCAUACCGCAUGAAAACUUUAAACACAAGAUUUAAGUUGGAAGAAUGCAAUUGCAUCACUCAAAGAUGAUCCCGCGUUGUAUUAGCUAGUUGGUGAGGUAAAGGCUCACCAAGGCGAUGAUACAUAGCCGACCUGAGAGGGUGGUCGGCCACAUCGGGACUGAGACACGGCCCAAACUCCUCCGGGAGGCACCGGUAGGGGAUCUUCGGCAAUGGACGAAAGUCUGGCCGAGCAACGCCGCGUGAGUGAAGAAGGUGUUCGGAUCGUAAAAGUCUGGUGGUAGAGAAGAACGUGGGUGAGCGUGGAAAGCGCACGAAGUGACGGUAACGACUCAGGAAGCGACGGCUAACUACGUG
This 497-nucleotide ribosomal RNA is filed under the name uncultured bacterium. RNAcentral's name for it is "partial 16S ribosomal RNA". It matches the Rfam family "Bacterial small subunit ribosomal RNA", at positions 28 to 507 of the family's 1533-position model. The record is from RNAcentral.